RNAcentral lists this long non-coding RNA (3444 nucleotides) under Heterocephalus glaber (naked mole-rat). RNAcentral describes it as "lncRNA (ENSHGLG00100034269.1)". The record is from RNAcentral. Lineage: Eukaryota; Metazoa; Chordata; Mammalia; Rodentia; Bathyergidae.
GGCAGAACCACUACGCUAAAUCCCCGACCUCCUCCAAAUUUUUUUAAUGUACUUAUUAUUCACUCAGUGGCAAGUUCAUUGGAUCACAACAUGAAAGAUUAUCUCCUCAUUAGUAUUUACCACAAGAAUUAAAACAAUAUUGAAAUAGUGUUAAAUUUAGAGCAAAGAGAUUAUUGGUGAGAAAACAUUAGGCUUUAAAAAAGUUCUUUUAAGGGUGACAGAUACAUCAACACCUUCUAAAAGAGGGUUUGGAGAGCACACUUUCUUCUAUGACAUUUAUAUUUUAAUAGCCUCAUCGAAGAGUUUUCUGGGGGUUUUUCAUCAAAGAGUUUUGAUGCUUGAUUUCAAGAUGGCAUCUUCAGCCCUGAAAUUCUCUCUCUCCUUCACAAAUCCCAGGGUAAAGGCCAAAGAUACACUGUAGUAUAAGAAUACAGUAUUUGGUUUUGUCCCAGGUUCCUGUCACAGAGCUUCUAAAGCCCUGGAAAUCUCCUGAGUGUAGUAGUAUCUUUGAUAUUCAUAAUAAGCCCCUUUUAGAAUACCUGAGUUUAGACUGAGGAGAUGACUUACUUGGUCCCUCUGGAAACCCUGAGGAUGGAGAGGCCAUCCUCAGAAAAACCAGGCAGUCAAAAGGUUGGAAUUUUCAGUCCCACCCACCAAACUCUAGGAAAGAGGAGCUAAAGAUAAAACUAUAAAAACUCCAGAACAAUAAGAUUUGAUAUUUUUUUCAGGUUGGCCUUAAGCUCAUUAUGUAGCCUGGGGUGGCCAUGAACUUGAGGCGAUCCUCCUGCCUCUCAGCCUCCUGAGUGCUGGGAUUACAGGAAUGGCUUGACUGUCUCAUUUUCAUGAGCCUGAGCUGAUGACAUCUGAGAACACUUGAAGGCCACUGUGAAAGGAGACCCAGCACUCCUCCUAGAAUGAAAUCAUCAUGUCAAGCAAUUUGGGUCCUGUCCUGGAGAAAUGUCCCUGCUGCUAUAUCUAGGAAGUCCACUGGAGCCCACUUCCGGACCCAGGAUCAGCUGAGCAGCUUCACAGCCACUCACUGCCCUGACGAGAAAGCAGCCAGACCUCAGAAGCAAAUCAGCAGGGCCAGCACCACUGUUGAGGAGGCCCAAAGGCUGUGAAGGCUGAGCUCCAGAUCCUCAUUGAUAAAAGCCAGCUGACAGCGAAGACCCCUUAUUAUCAGCGACCUCAGCCAACACACAACCUUCAAAACAUACUUUCUCCAGUUAUUUUGCAGUUUUAUUGGUUUCUUGCUAACCAUGUUGCUUGUAGCCCAUGUCUUCCUCUUUCCCCUCUCUUCUUCCUCCUUCUUUACCUUCUCUUGGUGGAUCUUCAUGUGUCUCUUGCAGAAAGCAUUCCUGGAUGGCAAACUUUUCGAAUCUUUGCAUGUGUGAAUACAUGUUAAUGUUGCUCUCACUUCAUUGUGGAUGAACUGGGUAUGGAAUCCUGGAUUCAGAAUAUUUAAGUGAUACUUCAUGAGGUAUAAAUUCUGAAUUCAGAAUAAUUUUCUGUCAGAAUUUGGUAAAACAUUUCCUUGAUAUUUGUACGACCUUGAAUUUGAUCCCCAUAGCUGCCAAAGAUAAAAAAUUGAAAAACUGAAAAAAGCCUUCUGUUCCCCUGGAUCCUCACACACACACACACCUUUUGGGAUUUCCCAGGAACCCAGACAUUUCCUGAGGAUACAGUGUUUCAUUAUUCCUUUUCAGCACUCAUGAGUCCCUUUCAAUUUGUAGACUUGAGCCUUUCUUCAGGAGAGAUUUAAAAAACACUUUUAAUAUUUCAUUCCUUCAAUUUUUUCUAUUUGUCCUUUCUGGAACUUUUGGUUGAAAAUUUAAAAAAAAACAAAAGAACAACUUGCCUGUAGCCUCCAUGACUCUUAGUAUUUUUCUUACUUGCUUCCUUUUCUUGCCUUUAUUCACAGAAUAUGGGAGAUUGCCCUAACUCAAUUUUGUGAACUUCCUCUUUGCAAAUUUGAUCUCCAUCCAUGCCCAUUUUGCUCUACUUCAGCCAUCUGUUGCAAGAUUUUUUUUUUUAUAUCAGCAGUCAUCCUUCUAAUUCCCAAGAACCCUACUUCUUUUUAUAGGGUGGGUCUUAUUUCUGUACUGGUGAUAACUUUGGUCCCAUCAGGAGGUUGUACACUUACUUGUUACAUUUAAUGAUUCUGCAGGUGGCUUUCCCUAAUUGCAUAAUUUUUUGUUUUUUGUUUUUUGUUUUGUAUUGGGGAUCAAACUCAGGACCUUUUGCUUUCAAGGCAGGUGGUGGCACCACUGAGCUAAAUCCCCGGCCUGCUGUUUGUUUGUUUUUUAAUUGCUUGGUUUUUGUUGUUGUUGUUUGGGUUUUGUUUUUUGAGACAGGGUCUCAUCAUGUAGUUCAGGCCAACCUCAAACUCACUAUGUGCCCCAGGCUGGCUUCGAAGUCUUGGUGAUCCACCUGCCUCAGCCUCCUGAGUGCUGAGAUUACAGGGAUCUGCCACCAAGUCCAGUGCAAUUGCAUGAUUUUUGACUGUCCUCAUUUCUGCUUAAGGGUCUUGGCCCUUUGACAUUAAGAGUUGAGACAUGUGUCUCCAGCCCGGGUGAGAUUCCCUGCUGUGUUAGGAAUAAAUGAAGAUUUGGGUACAGAGGUUCCAGCUCCAAGGACUGUGCAGAGCAGGAGGCAAAGGUGGGAGGUAAGGAAAGUAGUGCCUGGAACCUCUCUCUUGGCUACCACAGCAAACCUGGGACAGUGGCCACUUUCUCUGGUUCCGAUGCCUUCUCUGGGAGCCUCUUCUUUCAUGAUUUGCAUCUUAAUUUGGUAGGUAGUAAGCUUCACUUAAAAGUUUCACUUCAGGGGCAAAAGUAGAAAUCAGCUACUUUUUUGUUUGUUUAGUGCUGAGUAUUGAACCCAAGACCUUAUGCACGCUAAGCCUGUGCUCUACCACUGAACCACAACCCCUCAGCUCCAGCUUUGAGCUGCUUCUAAAACAGCCAAGAAUGAUGCAGAUGGGAGAAGAUAUUUGUGGCUCCUGCUCAUGAUUGUUUCAGUUUCUUUUUACUGGCCUCUCUGGAUUUCUAAGAGAGUUUACUUCUCCAGGGACCCUCUUUUUCUACUUUUAUGUAGGUGUUUAGGCACCUUGGCUCUGUGUGGUUUUGUUUUUGUUUUUGUUUUUUGUUUUGGGGGGCUCUGUGUGUUUUAUCAAUCUGCUUCAUAUCUUUCAUUAAUCAGUCCUUUUUAAAAAAAUAAGUCAGGGCCGGGGAUUUAGCUCAGUGGUUCCACUGCUUGCCUCGAAAGCACAAGGACCUGAGUUCAAUCCCCGGUACCAAUAAAUAAAUAAAUAAAUAAAUAAAAUUUAAAAAGGUCAGUCCUAUUUUGGUGCUCUGACAAUAACUGGCCUGGAUUUCCAGUGUUGCUUUCAAGUGAAUCACUUCUAGGGAUUGGUUUGUUUGGUUUGAGGUGUAACUGCAAAGU